UUCGGUUACAGGGACAUAUACCCAAAACAUCAAGAAAUUGUGUGGUUUAUGUAAAUGGGGAACUAAAAUGUGUUGUGAAACCAAAAGGAAAUGUCUAAAAUAAUAUUUGGCAGAAUUAUCAUUACACUUAAGUAUCAUUAGAAAAUUGUAAAAAGUUCCAAGCCUUGAAUAAUAACCCAUAAUAAUCUACAACUUUUUAACAGUUUAAAUUGUUCU
Molecule: non-coding RNA, 216 nt
Organism: Cinara cedri
Lineage: Eukaryota; Metazoa; Arthropoda; Insecta; Hemiptera; Aphididae
Source: the annotation of a GenBank genome assembly